Molecule: non-coding RNA, 86 nt
Organism: Selenomonas ruminantium subsp. lactilytica TAM6421
Lineage: Bacteria; Bacillati; Bacillota; Negativicutes; Selenomonadales; Selenomonadaceae
Source: Rfam
GGAGAGGUGUCCGAGUGGUUUAAGGAGCCGGUCUUGAAAACCGGUGAUGUCGCAAGGCACCGUGGGUUCGAAUCCCACCCUCUCCG